GUGACCUGCGGAAGGAUCAUUAACGAGCAUGAAUUGCACGAUUAGAGUUGAGCUGGUUAACCUAGUUAACAAGUGCUCAUUCUAAUCGACAAAUCCACUCAUUACUUAACACCUGUGAACUUAUCUAUUAUAAACAUUAUAAUAUGUCAUUGGAACGUUUGAUUAUAAUAAGUUAAUACAACUUUCAACAACGGAUCUCUUGGCUCUCGCAUCGAUGAAGAACGCAGCGAAAUGCGAUAAGUAAUGUGAAUUGCAGAAUUCAGUGAAUCAUCGAAUCUUUGAACGCACCUUGCGCUCCCUGGUAUUCCGGGGAGCAUGCCUGUUUGAGUGUCGUGAAGUCAUCAGAGUCAUGAUCUUUAAUUAAUCAUGGCUUGGAUUUGGAGGUUAUGUUGGCUAUCAGUCGACUCCUCUUAAAAGUAUUAGCUCAGUGUUUAAUGCUUAGAGCGGUUCACGGUGUGAUAAUUAUCUACACUUCGACUAAUCUAAGUUAGCUGGCUUCUAAUGGAUCCUUUGUGAUCACUUUGUGUAUUUGACCUCAAAUCAGGUAGGACUACCCGCUGAACUUAAGCAUAUCAAUAAGCGGAGGAAAAGAAACUAACAAGGAUUCCCCUAGUAACUGCGAGUGAAGAGGGAAAAGCUCAAAUUUAAAAUCUGGCAGCU
RNAcentral lists this ribosomal RNA (660 nucleotides) under fungal endophyte. RNAcentral's name for it is "eukaryotic LSU rRNA". The stretch from base 180 to 333 matches the Rfam family "5.8S ribosomal RNA". The record is from RNAcentral. Lineage: Eukaryota; Fungi.